RNAcentral lists this transfer RNA (73 nucleotides) under Felis catus (domestic cat). It matches the Rfam family "tRNA". From Rfam's summary of the family: Transfer RNA (tRNA) molecules are approximately 80 nucleotides in length. Their secondary structure includes four short double-helical elements and three loops (D, anti-codon, and T loops). Further hydrogen bonds mediate the characteristic L-shaped molecular structure. tRNAs have two regions of fundamental functional importance: the anti-codon, which is responsible for specific mRNA codon recognition, and the 3' end, to which the tRNAs corresponding amino acid is attached (by aminoacyl-tRNA synthetases). tRNAs cope with the degeneracy of the genetic code in two manners: having more than one tRNA (with a specific anti-codon) for a particular amino acid; and 'wobble' base-pairing, i.e. permitting non-standard base-pairing at the 3rd anti-codon position. Lineage: Eukaryota; Metazoa; Chordata; Mammalia; Carnivora; Felidae. The record is from Rfam by way of RNAcentral. RNAcentral also lists the same sequence under 3 other names.
GCCUGGCUGGCUCGGUUAGUGGGGCGUCUGACUCUUGAUCUCAGGGUCGUGAGUUCAAGCCCCACGUCGGGCG